Molecule: long non-coding RNA, 1680 nt
Filed under: Marmota monax (woodchuck)
Lineage: Eukaryota; Metazoa; Chordata; Mammalia; Rodentia; Sciuridae
Source: RNAcentral
CAGAGCCUCCUGGCUCUCAGGUGGGCAUCCCCUCUGUCCACAGUCACAGGCCACAGCUGGCUCCCAAGGCCGUGGCUGCUGAAGUCACGACUUGGACAGUGGUCCCCGGGCACAGGCGUCUGUCUCAGAGACGCAGUUUCUCCCUGGCCCUUGGCACCUACGCCGGCUCCUCCACCUUGCUGGCCCCACCUUGCCCAGGCUGAAGAGCAGGCUUGCAGCCUCAGGCUGUCCCCAGUCUGACCCCAGGAGGCUGAGCGGGGACCUGACCUUUGGAUGUGAGUGACCUGAUCCCGCAGGCCUGCUGCCCUCCUUGCAAGGGAGACGGUGGAAGGAAGCCACAUGAGGGCCCUGCCGCCCAGCAGGACCGCAGACCUGAGGUCGGGCCGGGGUCUGGCCGACUGGACAUAAAUGGAGAAAGGAGGCUUGCUUCACGCUCCUGGGCCAAGAUUUCCAUCUGCUACAAAUGGACGGAGAGACAGGUCAAAAGGAGGAAAUGCAUUUCCAUCCUUCAGCCUGACCGGUGUCCAGAAGCAGCUGGUCCAGGCCCAGAAGUAACAAGUUCUGUGAGGCUCGAUAGGACAAUCUGCAUUAGGGGCCACUCCUGAACCCAGGGCCAGAGACGGCGGGUUUAAGUGGUCCUGACACCAGGAGGCACAGCACUGGGAACAGCCUCUUCCCACUGGAGGGACGCAGGUCCUUGGCCUUAGGCCUGUGUGGACCCAGCCCGGUGUGUGAUGAGGGUUGGAGACAGCCCCAGAGUGCUCCGGCGGCCGCCCCUGCAGUUGGAACCCUCCCUCCAGGAGGUAGGACCUGGCCAGCGGCACAAAGGACCCAACUGCCCCAGGAGCAGGCACGGCAUCCAGAAUCGACCACUGAGCCCGACUGCAGCCGCGGCAGACACAUCCAGUCUGUGGGACUUGGCUCCAACGAAAACCAAUUAAAACUGCAGCUCCUCCAGGUCACCGCCUGCUCCCGCCCUGUCACCAUGAUGAGUUUGCCUAUUAGACUCGCAGUUUCUUCCAGAGCAGUUGUGAUUUGCUGUAGCAGCCACAGCACAGAUGAGAAGGGGCAGACGACCUUCCACGAGCCACGGGGCCAAAGACUCACCAGAAACUGUCACACAGAGCGCAGAAGGGUGCAGCAGCUCACCAGCACCCCCACACCCUGGGCUUCCUGCACCCCUGACCUCCCUCCUCCCUGGUUCUCAGGAUGACCUGGGACCUGGCUUUGAAGCAUGCUGGGUACAGCCGGGCUGGCAGUGUCCCGUAACCAGGAGCGAUGUCAUCUUUGCUCUGAAGACAGGGAAACUGAGGCAGGGAGGUCGUGACCUCACCAGGUCAGUGGGAAGUGGUGGUUUCUGACUUGAGAGCCCGCCCUUCAUGUCCUGCACUUCCCCACUCGGCAGGGACAAGACCCCCUGUGUCCCCUGUCCCCCUUGCCUGAGGAGUGCAAGCCAUAGUGGGCUGGCUGCUCACGAGGCCACCGCUGGCGCUCUCACUGACGUGGCUCUACAAGCAAGGGUGGCUGGAGUCCCCGGGGCUUGGGUCAAUAGCGCAGUCGCUGGCCUCGACCCGGCACCAGGGGCUGAACAUCCCCUAUCAGCACCUCCUGCACACGUUCAGCAGCAGAUCUUGAGUAUUAAUUAAUGUUUAUCAAACACAUGCCCAGAGCCCACUAGGG